This 466-nucleotide ribosomal RNA is filed under the name uncultured Klebsiella sp. Its description in RNAcentral is "bacterial SSU rRNA". It matches the Rfam family "Bacterial small subunit ribosomal RNA", at positions 338 to 795 of the family's 1533-position model. The record is from RNAcentral. Lineage: Bacteria; Pseudomonadati; Pseudomonadota; Gammaproteobacteria; Enterobacterales; Enterobacteriaceae.
CCUACGGGUGGCUGCAGUGAGGAAUAUUGCACAAUGGGCGCAAGCCUGAUGCAGCCAUGCCGCGUGUGUGAAGAAGGCCUUCGGGUUGUAAAGCACUUUCAGCGGGGAGGAAGGCGGUGAGGUUAAUAACCUCAUCGAUUGACGUUACCCGCAGAAGAAGCACCGGCUAACUCCGUGCCAGCAGCCGCGGUAAUACGGAGGGUGCAAGCGUUUAAUCGGAAUUACUGGGCGUAAAGCGCACGCAGGCGGUCUGUCAAGUCGGAUGUGAAAUCCCCGGGCUCAACCUGGGAACUGCAUUCGAAACUGGCAGGCUAGAGUCUUGUAGAGGGGGGUAGAAUUCCAGGUGUAGCGGUGAAAUGCGUAGAGAUCUGGAGGAAUACCGGUGGCGAAGGCGGCCCCCUGGACAAAGACUGACGCUCAGGUGCGAAAGCGUGGGGAGCAAACAGGAUUAGAUACCCCUGUAGUC